UUUCCGUAGGUGAACCUGCGGAGGGAUCAUUACCAAGCACUAUCCAAUAUCAACACUUUUUAUUAACUAUUGUACUCUUUUUGGUUGGUUGUGGUAAUUGUUCUAACAGUCGUGGAGGAAUUCAGUAAAGACUAUAUUAAACACCCCUGUUUAAAAAUAAAUUAUAAACUGAAACUUUUAAGUUAUAUGUCUUUACUUACUAUAACGCUAGAUUAUGAAUUAUAACACAACUUUUAACAAUGGAUAUCUAGGUUCUGGCAUCGAUUAAGAAC
Molecule: unclassified non-coding RNA, 272 nt
Filed under: plant metagenome
Description: partial contains small subunit ribosomal RNA, internal transcribed spacer 1, and 5.8S ribosomal RNA
Source: RNAcentral